GCAACCAGUGCGGCUGAAUUGGUCCUCAGUGUAACGAGAAUAUCCGGGUCAGCGUGUAUGUCAGCCACGUUACGCGGAAGUAACGCUAUUAUUGUGCGAAAAAUGAUUGGAAGUUCUUCUAUUUUUGUCCUUCUGUCUCUGCAAACUGGAGAUCUCGCUUCACUAUUCCGGAGAAUGAUGAAUACGUCUGUCGGCUGCGCGGUUUUCGUCCUCGCGAUGCAGGCUAUUUAUCCUGAAAAGAUACCGAUACGGAAGCCAUGCGUUAAUAGCGAGACGACAAGUUACUAUUCAUAAAACGUGUGGGUGUAGUUGCUGAUGUAAUGCUCCGGAAGAAUAUCAGUGGAUUUCAUUGCCAAGGGAGAGUCAGAAGUCACAUCGUAAAAAGUUGGCACGGAUUCAUCUUGGACGGAAAAGCUAAGGAGAAUCGGUAAUCAGCGAAGAUUUUUACGAUUUCAUCAAAGUGCCUUCUUUGGCACUAGAUAGAUACUUAUAAAGAUUGGAUUGAUUAAUUUUCUGCUUGCUUAACAAUUUGCACAAUUGCUACAAAAUCCGAGACGUACUACUUGUGAUUCUCAUGCCAAGUUUCCGGCUACAAUUUUGGCUUUCCCCAGUAUUUAAAAAUAUUAUAGUUCAUUCCAAAACUUCAACCUUGAACUUUAAUCAGAUCACUUUCGUUCUAAUUCUUGAUAGUCCGUCUUCAAAAUAUGUUAUUAAAAUGUUUCGUUAAGAACUUGAAAAAGUAAGAUUUAUAUCAGAGAUAUUUAUUUCGUGCAGGCUGAUACGAAUAAUAUGCGAAUAGGAACAAAAAUAAAAGCAAAGAAUGAUCUUUCAAAAUCAAUCACAUUCAGAACUAAGAAUUUUUCUUGAUCUGAAGGAUUCUUCUCCAAACGUAUACAUUUCACGCUCAUAAGUGUCGCACACAAAAUUUCAUGUUUUAUGUACGGAAUUGAAGAUCUCAACUUGAGAAAUGUCAUAUACGAAACAAAGUGUCAAAUAUAUAACAU
Long non-coding RNA from Bombus pascuorum, 1004 nucleotides. RefSeq lists it as uncharacterized. The record is from RefSeq and is a predicted model, not a curated record. The transcript has 2 exons. Lineage: Eukaryota; Metazoa; Arthropoda; Insecta; Hymenoptera; Apidae.